Molecule: ribosomal RNA, 254 nt
Filed under: Singulisphaera sp.
Lineage: Bacteria; Pseudomonadati; Planctomycetota; Planctomycetia; Isosphaerales; Isosphaeraceae
Also listed under: 1 other name
Description: partial 16S ribosomal RNA
Rfam family: Bacterial small subunit ribosomal RNA
Source: RNAcentral
GACGAACCGUGCGAACGUUAUUCGGAAUCACUGGGCUUAAAGCGCGUGUAGGCGGGACGGCACGUCGGUCGCUGAAAUCCCCCGGCUUAACCGGGGAACGGGCGUCGAUACGACCGUCCUGGAGGGGCGUAGGGGGACCUGGAACUUCCGGUGGAGCGGUGAAAUGCGUUGAGAUCGGAAGGAACGCCCGUGGCGAAAGCGAGGUCCUGGACGCCUACUGACGCUGAGACGCGAAAGCCAGGGGAGCGAACGGG